RNAcentral lists this ribosomal RNA (253 nucleotides) under uncultured bacterium. RNAcentral describes it as "partial 16S ribosomal RNA". It matches the Rfam family "Bacterial small subunit ribosomal RNA", at positions 524 to 776 of the family's 1533-position model. The record is from RNAcentral.
UACGUAGGGAGCAAGCGUUGUCCGGAAUCAUUGGGCGUAAAGCGCGCGUAGGUGGCUUCGUAAGUCCGUUGUGAAAGUCAAAGGCUCAACCUUUGAAAGCCGAUGGAUACUGCGGAGCUAGAGUACGGAAGAGGCGAGUGGAAUUCCUGGUGUAGCGGUGGAAUGCGCAGAUAUCAGGAGGAACACCAAUAGCGAAGGCAGCUCGCUGGGACGUUACUGACACUGUGGCGCGAAAGCGUGGGGAGCGAACAGG